RNAcentral lists this ribosomal RNA (426 nucleotides) under uncultured Gorillibacterium sp. RNAcentral's name for it is "bacterial SSU rRNA". It matches the Rfam family "Bacterial small subunit ribosomal RNA", at positions 355 to 774 of the family's 1533-position model. The record is from RNAcentral. Lineage: Bacteria; Bacillati; Bacillota; Bacilli; Caryophanales; Paenibacillaceae.
UAGGGAAUCUUCGGCAAUGGACGAAAGUCUGACCGAGCAACGCCGCGUGAGUGAUGAAGGGUUUCGGCUCGUAAAACUCUGUUGCCAAGGAAGAACGCUUGCGGGAGUAACUGCCCGUGAGGUGACGGUACUUGAGAAGAAAGCCCCGGCUAACUACGUGCCAGCAGCCGCGGUAAUACGUAGGGGGCAAGCGUUGUCCGGAAUUAUUGGGCGUAAAGCGCGCGCAGGCGGUCGUUUAAGUCUGGAGUUUAAACCUAGGGCUCAACCUUGGGUCGCUCUGGAAACUGGGGGACUGGAGUGUAGGAGAGGAAAGUGGAAUUCCACGUGUAGCGGUGAAAUGCGUAGAGAUGUGGAGGAACACCAGUGGCGAAGGCGACUUUCUGGCCUAUAACUGACGCUGAGGCGCGAAAGCGUGGGGAGCAAACA